GAUAAUUCUCCACUUGUUCCUACUUGUAUAAAAAAUUGUUAAGCAAGACUUACUCCUUUACCAACAAUAGUAUUAUAAUAAUCAUAACAACAAUAACAACUGGACACAGAAUUUGGAAAAGUGGAAAUAGAAGCAUGAGUCUCUGAUAUAUCAAGCACGUGAGGCUGGUCUGUGUAGGUGGGCAUGUGUGAGUUUUAAAUGAUUUCCCCUUCUAGGAAUGAUUGUUUGUAUUUGAAACAGUUCCAGCUAUUAAAGUUUUUUAAAGGUUCCUGUUGUCAAAAGAUCAUGAAAUCGUUCGAGCCGUUCUGAUGACUUUGGAGAUGGCAAGGCUAGUGGUGACCAAGGUUUUGGGAGGAAAUUUUUCUAGUUCUUUCUGUAAGGCAAGUUCCCUGUUCUCCACUGAUGAAUUUGAUACUGGCAUCCAUAUGGUGAUCGAUAAUUCUCCACUUGUUCCUACUUGUAUAAAAAAUUGUUAAGCAAGACUUACUCCUUUACCAACAAUAGUAUUAUAAUAAUCAUAACAACAAUAACAACUGGACACAGAAUUUGGAAAAGUGGAAAUAGAAGCAUGAGUCUCUGAUAUAUCAAGCACGUGAGGCUGGUCUGUGUAGGUGGGCAUGUGUGAGUUUUAAAUGAUUUCCCCUUCUAGGAAUGAUUGUUUGUAUUUGAAACAGUUCCAGCUAUUAAAGUUUUUUAAAGGUUCCUGUUGUCAAAAGAUCAUAAAACAUCUUAGAAUGGAGUUAUAGUGUUUAAAAAAAGAUAGAAUGGUUAACUCGCAAUUGUCUUCCAGAUAUAAAAUGAGAAGAGUUUAAACCAGUUUCUGUGGAUAUGCUGCAACUGUAGCCAUACUCAGAUGUUACUUGUGGUUGUUUGGCCUAUUGUGUUCCAUGCCAACUGCUACCCGAGAAAAUAAGGGGGGAGGGGUUAAGGAAAUGCUGCAUUUUAUCCUUCUAUGUCCAUCAUAGAAGGCUCCUCGGGAUUUGCCCCUAGGACUAUGUUUUGAUGUAAUGGCGCUGGUUUGUUUAACAGGCGUGGACUCUGUGAAUAUGGUUAUUUGGGAAUGACCAUAAAGCAUAAAGAGACGAAAUGCGCGACUGAUGUCCAAUUUGUGAAGCAUCUGUGUUGAUUGCCAGGCUCCGUGUUUAGAGUUGCUGUAGCUUCAGAUUUUACAACUCAAUUGCUAUACUUAGAAUUCCAUGAGAAUAACCAUUUUAUAUCCACUUUGUAACACCUAUAGGUAAUCUAUAGCUAUCGAGAAAGUCGUUCACUUGCCUGCUAUUAUAUCGUUUGAUGGUCGUAAUUUUUGUUCCCUAGCUUGAUAUUAACUUGUGCUAUUGGAGCUGUUGAUUGGUAUCCUGCAGUAUGUAGAGACAGUUUGGAUCUUCUACUCUCAAUUUCUAAAAACUAUGUAUCAGUAUUUCCUUUCCGAUUAUUAGACCAAAUGUAAAAAGAAUGCUUUGAUUUUUCAUUCCAGUAGGAGAUAAAGGUGCGACAAGAAAACUUUGUUGGUAAAUGUAUGAUCUACAUUCAUGUUUGGAAAAUUACCAGCUAUGUCCAUUUAUAGGUAGCUCAUUAUAAAAAUUGGUUACUAAUUUAGCCAAACUAGCCAAUUAGCUAUUUGUAACCAAAAAAAUUAAAUUUUUACUUUGUUUUGAUUGGGUGUUACUAGAAUAGAUAGGAGCUUGAAUCUGAGUUUUGGGAUGAUUUGAUAAAGUUUUGAAGUGGUUUGAAUUGAAAAUUCGAUAAAAAUUGAAUACGAAAAAAAUGAUAUGUGCAUUAUUUGUUUAUUAUAUUUGUAUUUAUUGUGUAUUAUAUGUAUAUCCAAUGUAUACUUGUGUGUGAUACACGUGUGUCGCAAAAGACUUUUGUGAAUUCGAGUUAAUUACAAAUUUUGAUACUAAACCAGUUCAAAUCACCUUCAAUUUCUCUCAAAUUUUGUAUAUUGACUUAUCUCUAUAUUUUCGAUGAAUUUUAAUUAUACUCAUCAAAAAAGUUUUUUUUUUGUUUAGAUUUUUGGAAUAUUGUAUAUAUUCCAAAAAUUUGAAGGGAAGACAGUAUUCUUCCCAUCCAACUGAAGUAUUGUAUCCUUUUCUGCCCAUUUUUACUUCAAGUUCGAGAGAUUGAAGGCGGGUAUGAACUUCUGGUUUGGGAAACAGAGGACGACUAGGUACAUCUUCAAUUUUGAGGCGGAGUUGUUCAAGAUUGGGAAACCUCAACCAGAAACUUGGAUUCAUAUUAUCCACAUAUGGCUAGUCUUGUAUAAGUUUAUGAUUAAUGGUUAGAGGUUUGUAAGUAGAGAUUUAUUUAGGAUAUUUGUAUAAGUUUCCCUUCAUAUUUGCCUUAAUGUGGGUUAAUUUGUCGAAUACAAAGUCUUUUCUUAUUGGAUUUUACCUUCUGUAGCAAAGGUUAUUACCUUAUUUAUUUUAAAU
This 2429-nucleotide long non-coding RNA is filed under the name Nicotiana benthamiana. RNAcentral describes it as "long non-coding RNA (NBEN_LNC030097)". Lineage: Eukaryota; Viridiplantae; Streptophyta; Magnoliopsida; Solanales; Solanaceae. The record is from RNAcentral.